GUGGACGCUUGCCUCAAGGAUUAAGCCAUGCAAGCUAGCGAAGGUAACGGAGCGGCGAACGGCUCAGUAGGACAGGGAUAUCUGGCCACGGCAGAGGAUAACCGCGGUAAACUGCGGCUAAUACGAGCGUGUGUGAGGCCCUGGCCUAUCAGCUAGGCGGUACGGUAAGGGCGUACCGUGGCGACGACGGGUAGCGGGAAAUCGGGGUUUGAUACCGGAGAGGGAGCCUGAGAGAUGGCUGCCACGUCCAAGGACGGCAGCAGGCGCGAAAAUUACCCACUUGGAGGACCAGAGGUAGUGACGAGGCGUGACAAUGAGGAUAGGUUAAAACACUGUCCGAAGGCGACUGGAGGGCAAGUCUGGUGCCAGCAGCCGCGG
RNAcentral lists this ribosomal RNA (378 nucleotides) under uncultured Microsporidia. Its description in RNAcentral is "SSU rRNA". It matches the Rfam family "Microsporidia small subunit ribosomal RNA", at positions 23 to 405 of the family's 1311-position model. Lineage: Eukaryota; Fungi; Microsporidia. The record is from RNAcentral.